AUGCUUCACUUCAAUCUAGUCAGAACCAAAAUUGCCCUUUUCGCCCAUGGUUAUAAACUGUAUCAUCGGGACGAUGAUAGAAAAGCCAGGGGUAAAUGUAACGGGGUAGUCGUCUUGAAGGAGUUUUUCGUUUCAUGGGGGGCGGGUGUUGUUGGGCGGAAGUGAUGUUCAUGGCCCUUUAAGAAGCGUGAAGAUUCCCCUUUACUUCCGUUUUUCCUCUGGCAUGGGAUAUGGGUCGUGUGUGAGUGCAUGGUAAAAAGAAAAAACCUUAUGUGCGUUAAGCAUUGAGUCUAUGAGCCGUAGCAAACGCAGUAACUAUUUCUGAGCGUGGGCCUGGGGAUGUGCGACCGCAUCAACGCAGUUUUGGGUACGUUAGCGUAUUGACCUAUAACGUCGCAUUGUUUCAAGUGAGGGCAAUUACUAAUAGUGCCGCUUCUUUUAGUUCAAGCUGGGUAGGAGUGGUGGAUUAUUCACUAUCCGUAUUGCGAGUCCGUUAGCUGUGCUGCCGAAAGUUGCUCGCUGCUGUUUUGCUGCUGUGAGGUGGCCUGACGGCGCUGCUGUACCGCGACAUAGUUCGCGUUCUAGAAGACGUUUGCUUCAGUGUGCGUGCGAGUGUGAGUGCGUGUUGUACAGGGACUAAUUAUUUAUGUGAUUACGAGAGUGUGGAGUUAAGAUGAUUUAGUCUUUUCUUUUUUUCCUUUUCUUCUUUGUUUUCUUUUGUAUUGUGUUUAUUUUGUUGGUUGAAUUGUGAGUAAUAAUUGUUAUCUGACCUUGUCAAUUUCCUUAUAGACAACAAGGACGCUCAUCUCUGGGGAGGGUUUGCUUUUGUUUUUGGUUUGCGGUGUGUGUUUGGUUAUCUGUUUGGAGUGGGGAUAUUUUUAGUUUUUAUUUUCUCAUUGUGGGUGGGGGUUCAUUUAUAUUGAAUUUUGGUUUUUGGGGGUUUUUGCUUUUCCUCCCGAUUGUUGGGUCGUCGAGAGAUAUCAAUGUUGUAUAUGAUUGGUGGUCACUGUAUAACUAUUUUAUGAAAACAAUUGUAUUAAAUUGGUGAUGUGAUGUGUUUUGUAUGAUUUUACCUGUCUUUAUAUUUAAAGUGUCCAUUUAAAUAAAUUGAUUGCACACC
Puntigrus tetrazona (Sumatra barb) is the source of this 1120-nucleotide long non-coding RNA. RefSeq lists it as uncharacterized. The record is from RefSeq and is a predicted model, not a curated record. NCBI's taxonomy places the organism in Eukaryota, Metazoa, Chordata, Actinopteri, Cypriniformes, Cyprinidae. The transcript has 2 exons.